Molecule: ribosomal RNA, 253 nt
Filed under: uncultured bacterium
Lineage: Bacteria
Description: partial 16S ribosomal RNA
Rfam family: Bacterial small subunit ribosomal RNA
Source: RNAcentral
UACGGAGGGAGCUAGCGUUGUUCGGAAUUACUGGGCGUAAAGCGCACGUAGGCGGCUAUUCAAGUCAGAGGUGAAAGCCCGGGGCUCAACCCCGGAACUGCCUUUGAAACUAGAUAGCUAGAAUCUUGGAGAGGUCAGUGGAAUUCCGAGUGUAGAGGUGAAAUUCGUAGAUAUUCGGAAGAACACCAGUGGCGAAGGCGACUGACUGGACAGGUAUUGACGCUGAGGUGCGAAAGCGUGGGGAGCAAACAGG